RNAcentral lists this long non-coding RNA (427 nucleotides) under Androctonus crassicauda. Lineage: Eukaryota; Metazoa; Arthropoda; Arachnida; Scorpiones; Buthidae. The record is from RNAcentral.
AAAACUUUUAAUGAAAUGUUUUCAGUUGGUAUACAACCAUCUUCAGCAUUAAGAACAGAAUAUAAAAGUUUCACGCCAAUGGAUAAACUGAUCAGUACAAAUGAACAGUAUCUAAGGUUUUUUGAAGAAGGCAAAGGUUCAACAAUGUUGAGAUUGACAUGCAUAAAAUGUUCAGUUAUUCAAUGGAAAUUUGCCAGGAGAGGAGCAUGUGUGUCAUUGGAUCUUAAUUCUUGAAUCCCUUUUCAAAAAAAUAUGCCACAAAACACAGUUUUUGUUAUUGGAGGAUCAUACAAAAAAUUGACACAAUAAAUCUGUGAUCACUUGAUUCUCUUAGGGAGAAGGGAAAUACCAUUGGAUGAGACCAAAUGUCAUAAGAAUGGUACUUUCUUAACACCAAAAAUGCACUUUUGAACAUUCAACCAUUGAC